CAGAUAAGCCGCGGCCAUUGUGAGUCGCAUGCAAAAACUACACGGAUCACUCCAUUGUGUCUUCUCCGUGGCGUAAAUCUCUCUUGCUCUUGAAAAGCGCACGCUGAGGCCACGCUUGCAGCGUCGUCUUGUCUAUAUCGCUUCUCUCAUGUUCGGCUAGCGUCGCGCUGAAUACCGAAGUUAUGAACUCGUCACCUGCAGUGGAUGAGAGCAAAGCCCACUUUAAUUCGUCUGUUCUUUGACGUUCGGCCCACCGCCUAAAAGGAACGCCACGAGUAAUGACUGAUUCCAUUAUGGAGCAGAACAGCUCAUUAUCCAUUAUAAUGUUCAUAUAGGAAAGCGGCAGAGGUUAUCUACAAUUCCACGUUGCACAAGUUGUGCGAUUCGGCACUGUAUUGUGCUUCAAAUUUCGAGUCAGGAGUUGAUGAAGAGAACGGCUUGACCAACAAUUCCUCUACCAUCCAAACAAGUCUUUGUCGUGUCCACUGGCAUAGCAGUCCUACUGCAACUUUCACCUGGCAUCUGGAACCUACUAGUCUUCUGCUUCGGAGUCGAAAGAAUGGCUGAUUUACAAUAAGCUGAGCUGCACCCCCAAUAUAUCCUCACAAACAAAUCCAAUGUGCUAUCUCUUCAUUAUAACCUCCCGUACUCGUGCAGCGCGGUAUAACCUGUAUGCUUAUGUUGUUUUAAAGUAAAGUGACCAGAGUUAGGCGGGUAAAGUCCCCGGCUUUUUCAGUUGUGGUCCCGCUGUCCCACCAGCCUGCCCGUGGGACGGCGUUCUGUCUGCUUCGGUUGCAACGAACGCCGAAUGGACGAAAGAUUGGGCUGAACAACAAAAGCGCUUUCGACUUCUAUGUGGCCCUUUAUCGGCUCGCAUCUUUCCUCAACUAUACCUCAACCUUGCCAAUAAAACUGCUUAGCAUUCUGGCUAACGAGCCACUCCCAUGGUGAAAAUUCUGUGAAAACCAAAGCUCGCUCGCGGACGCUUUGCUCAUCAAGCUGCCUCGGUGGGAGCACGGUCUUGGUUUCGCCGACGAUCGUGCCCAAUGGAAGUGCAAGUGCAGCGAAGAGUUCCGAUCGAGUUUCCUUUCGUAUCUGCAAGUUUGACAACGCACUAAAGGAAAUGCACUGAAAGAAUAGCUAUAAAAAAGCAAGCGAGCUGGUGACUAGAAUACAUGUCAGUAAAACUCCGAGACUAGGGGCGACAAGAACAAACACACGUAGACGAAGUCUCUAACACAACUGUGUUUGAGACUUUGUCUGUGUGGGUGUCUGUUCUCAUCAUUCCUAGUAUCCGGGUUUUACCUUCACAUAUAACGAAAAUACGUUCUAGUCAAGUAUACGAAUGGGUGCUGAAAAGUUAUCGGCCCGACAAAGAAGAACGCGGCCUAGUGCCAUGAACAUUUACUACAUAUCCACAUAUUGACCUGGUAGCUCUACGCAUUUGGCACAUCGUCCCUGAAGCUUCUUUAACCAUUGAAAAAUGAAAUAUGACGUCUAUUCUCCGAAAUAUGCUUCGGCUCCUCUGAUCACCUCCGAGUCCUCCGAGAAUCUCUUUCCUUUCUGACUUUUUUUUUUUUUUUUUCAAGUUUGGGAAACACAAAAUAGUCAGUACGGCGAAUGUUCAAUGCAUUGGAAUCGCAAGUCCCUCAGAACCUGUAUUGUUUUGCAGCUUUGUGAGCUGGUACAUUGUAAAGGAGAACGCCUUUCCGUAGCUUCCCGCGCCGCUUUUCUGGCAGAGCAAGCUACAGUAGUACGCUGUUUCACCCUUCCGGAGAGAGUCAGUCAUCAAAACACUUUGCAUGUUCCAGAAAAGUGUGGCCAUGACCUUUAUCGCUGAUCGUUGAGUCUUGAAUUCCUUCGGCCUCGGAGAACCCAAGUGCCGCCAUUCCAUGGACUUUUGUUGAUGUAGUUGUAGUGAUGCAACCAUGUUUCAUCAACUAUAAGCAGCUCAAGAUAAGUAUCACUAGAACGCGCGACAUGCUCCAAAAUCAACUUGGAGGUAUCCAUUCGGUGUUGUUUCUCAUCAGCAUUCAAACAUUUGGGCACCAAUUUGGCUGACAGCUUCUGCAUACCCAACUCUGAACGUAAAUUAUAAACGCAGUGCGUUCUCUGGAUAUGUCCAAGGUCCCCGCAAUUGUUUUAGCCGAGAUUCGCCGAUCUGCUAAAAUGAGGUCAUGGAUACAAUCAACAAUUUUGGUGUUGACACCGUUGGGGGUCUCCCUGAUCUUCCGGCGUCUUCGGCGUCAAAACCCCACCGGUGAAAGUUGACACACAUCUCCUUCACAGUUGAGUAUGAUGGGCUCUCGUCAUUUAAUGUUUGCAUCGUGCAUUCAUAAAUUUCCCUUGGAGUUUUCUUCUGCAUGAACAGGAACUUCAUGACAGCCCGAAGUUCAACCUUUGAAAAUUUCACGCUCGCAGUAGACGUGGUCUUGUUGAUAGCCCGAGUACACGUGAAAGUUUAGCGUUACAAGCCUUCAAUUUUUCUUCUUCUUCGCCUCGCUCUUUGUGUAUGCAAUGACGAGAUCGCGUUUGUAUAUCUGGAAGUGGGUCGGGCCGAGAACUUUUAAGCACGCCCUCGUAUAGUCGAAGUACUUCAUAUGCGCACUAGCUAGUACGUAAAACGCAACGAAAAAAGAAACAUAAAAUAACAACACAGGGUGUGGGCGAAACACUGAGUCUGGUUUGUCGACUGACUGCACCCACCCCCCAUACAUUUCAAUCCGGAUGUCCCGCAUUAGUGUCGGACGAAUAUGGUCACUUUAUUUUAGAGUGCUUGCCCAUCUAUGAUUAUUGUUCCUUUUGAUGGAAAUGUCAUGUACUUUGCCAAUGUCUCAGUUAUGUGGCUACAUUUUCGUGGCUAUGGCUUUCAAAAUAAAAUAAAAUGUGUACAUUAAUAAAUUUGCAGUUUCAUGCGUUUUAAUUUGCUUUCUUUUAUCAUCUCUGUUCCUUUUUGCGACACAAUAGAUAACGAGCGUGACACAAUCACCAGUCCCGUAGCCCGCAAAGGUCGCACGCUUUUUCAUGGAUUUCGACAGCGUACACGUUCGACAGCGACAGCACACGUUCUGCGGUGUCUCCCUUUGCAGCUUACCCUGAUAGAGCUCUCAUAAUACUACCUAGAAACCAAGGCAGUGACCAUUCGAGCUACCGAGCCGCCAUAAUAGGCAGGGCAAUCCUCAUGUGGUACGAGCGUCAUCGCUACUUGCCCCCUGCAAGUUCUACUGUCUACUCUCUAACAGCGCAUGACACCAAUGACAGAUCCCAGU
Ornithodoros turicata is the source of this 3269-nucleotide RNA transcript. RefSeq lists it as uncharacterized. Lineage: Eukaryota; Metazoa; Arthropoda; Arachnida; Ixodida; Argasidae. The record is from RefSeq and is a predicted model, not a curated record. The transcript is spliced from 5 exons.